GGAAGGAUCAUUACUGAUUUGCUUAAUUGCACCACAUGUGUUUUUUAUUGAACAAAUUUCUUUGGUGGCGGGAGCAAUCCUACCGCCAGAGGUUAUAACUAAACCAAACUUUUUAUUUACAGUCAAACUUGAUUUAUUAUUACAAUAGUCAAAACUUUCAACAACGGAUCUCUUGGUUCUCGCAUCGAUGAAGAACGCAGCGAAAUGCGAUACGUAAUAUGAAUUGCAGAUAUUCGUGAAUCAUCGAAUCUUUGAACGCACAUUGCGCCCUUUGGUAUUCCAAAGGGCAUGCCUGUUUGAGCGUCAUUUCUCCCUCAAACCCCCGGGUUUGGUGUUGAGCAAUACGCUAGGUUUGUUUGAAAGAAUUUAACGUGGAAACUUAUUUUAAGCGACUUAGGUUUAUCCAAAAACGCUUAUUUUGCUAGUGGCCACCACAAUUUAUUUCAUAACUUUGACCUCAAAUCAGGUAGGACUACCCGCUGAACUUAA
Molecule: unclassified non-coding RNA, 489 nt
Filed under: Rhodotorula sp. JSKim-2015
Lineage: Eukaryota; Fungi; Basidiomycota; Microbotryomycetes; Sporidiobolales; Sporidiobolaceae
Description: partial contains 18S rRNA, ITS1, 5.8S rRNA, and ITS2
Rfam family: 5.8S ribosomal RNA (bases 153-306)
Source: RNAcentral